UUUCUAGCUUAUACUGUAGUUUCGACCUAUAUAUUUUUAGCUAGCUAG
This 48-nucleotide transfer RNA is filed under the name Histiostoma feroniarum. RNAcentral describes it as "tRNA-Arg". Lineage: Eukaryota; Metazoa; Arthropoda; Arachnida; Sarcoptiformes; Histiostomatidae. The record is from RNAcentral.